CUCUCUCUCUCUGUUGGCAGGUGAUAGACACAGUAAGCACUCAGUUGGCAGGAAGAGCCUCAACUAACAAAGGCCUGCAACACUUUGCUUUAAACGGCUCUUGAGCACAGAGCUGGGGCAAUUUGUUAGCAGUUUGCGCUUAACUUAUUCGCUGUGCACCAUUAUCGCAUUCAAUAGUACCGUUCCCGGGGCGCCAUCAGUCAAAUUGCCAAACAAAUUCAUGUCGCCGAUAACAAUUCAAUCACUUAAAAGUUCAAAUCGUCUUACAAUGCCUCCCCAGUGUCCAACUGGGCAACUGCAACCACAAUCUAGCUGCUGUUGCUGCUGCUGCUGCUGCUGUCUGAAACAUCUUGUCCCGGGGCUAUGCUUAGCAGGGCAUCUGCAUCGGUUUGUUGGCAACUGAAGUUCGUACUUAUCUCAACAGCUUGCUGCAAAGCCAUUCAAUGGAUUCCCUUGAUUUGGUCUCAACUCUCUGCAACUGAGGCCUUCAAGUGUCUGCCGUUGUCUGCUGCUGUUGCUGCUGGCCAAGUUUUAAAGCAAUAUUUUUCAACAGCAAACUUCCACUCAACAGUUGCAUUUAACCAACCCCAUCUGGAGCCCAGGACCACGGGGCACACAGCGUGCUUUGCCAAAGGA
Molecule: unclassified non-coding RNA, 636 nt
Organism: Drosophila navojoa
Lineage: Eukaryota; Metazoa; Arthropoda; Insecta; Diptera; Drosophilidae
Source: RefSeq, a predicted model, not a curated record